AGUCACGCUAAGCCCAAGUUUUGUGUUAUUUUUCGAAAUUUGAACAACUUCUAAUGGUGGAUCGCUCGGCUCGUGGGUCGAUGAAGACCGCAGCAAAAUGCGUGUCGGCAUGUGAAUCGCAAGAUUAUGAGAUGCAUCGACCAGUUGAACGCACAUUGCGGCGAGGGCACUGACCAGUGUCUUCGCCACUCCCGGACGAGUGUCUG
Molecule: ribosomal RNA, 206 nt
Filed under: Palaemon cf. modestus Taihu Lake
Lineage: Eukaryota; Metazoa; Arthropoda; Malacostraca; Decapoda; Palaemonidae
Description: 5.8S ribosomal RNA
Rfam family: 5.8S ribosomal RNA (bases 46-205)
About the family: 5.8S ribosomal RNA (5.8S rRNA) is a component of the large subunit of the eukaryotic ribosome. It is transcribed by RNA polymerase I as part of the 45S precursor that also contains 18S and 28S rRNA.
Source: RNAcentral